GACGCGCGGGGCGGCCAGGUUACGAAGGAGCGUCCAGUCAAGUGGCGAUGCGCGGAGCUCCCGAGUGACGAAGGUGCGUCCUGUUGAGUGACGGUGCGCGGAGUGACCGAGUGACGAAGGAGCGUCCACUGUUCGUGUAACGGUGCGCGGGGCAGCCGUAUCGAGAAUGUUGUUGAGAAUGGUGCGCGGAGGCGUCCAGAUAACCUGUUCGUUAGCCGACCGAGUGAAAAGGAGAAUCGGCCGAAUGAACCACAGCUGGGCCGCGAUCCGGUCGCCACACCAUCAGCCAAGUAUAAUAAAUGAUGAGUCGGCAGGGCGGCGUUAUUUGUCUCAGUAAGCCUGCGAGUUAGCAAAUACACGUACAUCCAAAAAUAUUUUUUGUUGGACUAAAGUGUCCACAUAUGGAUGCUAUUUUGCAAGAAUUAAAGACCACGGAUGGCCGUGCAUGCAUGCACGAAUUAAGCGGUGUGGAAACUGAAAGGUAAGCAAUUUCAGACUUCAUGAUGAAAUAACAUCUACGUUACUCAUUUUAAGAGCGUGCAAUUAAUCGUGGGUGUUAAUCGCCGCAUAACUAAGACCAGCAUGCUGCGUAUUAUACACAUGUAAUGGUGGGCCGGUCCUACCCAGGCACUCAAGCCGCAAGCGUUGCUGCAUGCUUUCCUUACACGUGCACAUCCUGCUUCACAAACUGACGCGAUUUAUGGGCAGAAAUUGGUAGAAUGGAGGAAGGUACCGUCAUGGUGGAGCGGACUGUCCUGGUUGUGGCGUUG
This 770-nucleotide long non-coding RNA is filed under the name Hordeum vulgare. RNAcentral describes it as "long non-coding RNA (HVUL_LNC019772)". The record is from RNAcentral. Lineage: Eukaryota; Viridiplantae; Streptophyta; Magnoliopsida; Poales; Poaceae.